AUUGAACGCUGGCGGCAUGCCUUACACAUGCAAGUCGAACGGUAACAGGUCUUCGGAUGCUGACGAGUGGCGCACGGGUGAGUAAUACAUCGGAACGUGCCCGAUCGUGGGGGAUAACGAGGCGAAAGCUUUGCUAAUACCGCAUACGAUCUACGGAUGAAAGCGGGGGAUCUUCUGACCUCGCGCGGACUGAGCGGCCGAUGGCAGAUUAGGUAGUUGGUGGGAUAAAAGCUUACCAAGCCGACGAUCUGUAGCUGGUCUGAGAGGAUGAUCAGCCACACUGGGACUGAGACACGGCCCAGACGCCUAAGGGAGGCAGCAGUGGGGAAGUUUGGACAAUGGGAGAAAGCCUGAUCCAGCCAUGCCGCGUGCAGGAUGAAGGCCUUCGGGUUGGAAACUGCUUUUGUACGGAACGAAAAGCCUCUUUCUAAUAAAGAGGGGUCAUGACGGUACCGUAAGAAUAAGCACCGGCUAACUACGUG
RNAcentral lists this ribosomal RNA (482 nucleotides) under uncultured bacterium. RNAcentral describes it as "partial 16S ribosomal RNA". It matches the Rfam family "Bacterial small subunit ribosomal RNA", at positions 30 to 507 of the family's 1533-position model. The record is from RNAcentral.